Molecule: long non-coding RNA, 326 nt
Organism: Sinocyclocheilus rhinocerous
Lineage: Eukaryota; Metazoa; Chordata; Actinopteri; Cypriniformes; Cyprinidae
Exons: 4
Source: RefSeq, a predicted model, not a curated record
CCGCAUCGACCUGCGCAUGCGCAUGGACUAUAAAAGGCGGGUUCGCAUGUUCGUUCUUCCCAGUUCCGUCUUCCUUGACCAGGUAGUUUUGCAGUAUGUGGACUGUUGGACCAUGGAGUUGUGCUGUAGUGCUACUCAGAUUUUGAUCAUACUGGAGCAGAAUGGAUAACCUUAAAUUCAUCAGACUUUGUUUCAUAAGUCAUCCACAUACUAAAACAGCAGAUCGAUAGUGUUGACAUUUGCUCUAAACUUUAAGCCAAUUUAUCUGAAGCACCAUCAGAGCUGCUUGGCAUACAAAAUAUUGGUGCUUUUCUUGUUCUUAAGUC